Molecule: long non-coding RNA, 759 nt
Organism: Cyprinus carpio (common carp)
Lineage: Eukaryota; Metazoa; Chordata; Actinopteri; Cypriniformes; Cyprinidae
Exons: 4
Source: RefSeq, a predicted model, not a curated record
GUCAGUCUUUGCCAUGCAUUCAGGAGAGUACCACAACGAGAGAGUUGGAUGUUCUACGUCAGAACGCCGGCUCCUGCAUCAGCAGCACCACACGCAUGUGUGUACUGAAAAUAAGCUCCAUGACAUCAGUAACUGAUGAUAUGUACAAAAGUCUCGUCCUUCUUCCUGAAGCAUCAGUGGACCCUCCUAACGGGCCUGAGAUAUCCCUCUGACCCCCCACCCAUGAGGGAGGAGGGCAUCUAUGACUGGUAUAAACUGUUUUGGGUUUAACUUACCCGAGAUGCCUCUAAGAUCAGCAGCUGAGGGACUGAAGACAUCAGAGAUACCGAGAGACUUUAAAACAGGCUUCAAAUUGAACCUGCUCUGCAUCUUAAACCUAAAAUACAUGUAUAAAUACUAUUCAUUUUAAAUCCCAUUUGCAUAUAAUAAUAUUUUACAAUUAUUAUUAUUAUUAUUUUUUAUGUUGUUACCUGGGCAGAAAUAUAUCCAUCUUAGUGCGUCUUAAUCCAGUAUCCCAGAGUCCCACAGCACGGGCAGUGAGCUGCUUUUCUAGCUGGGACAGAGGGGUUUUCCGGUCACUAGGCAAGGCCACCAGUAGCCUGAGUGAGCGAUCCAGGCUGAAGGGCAAGUUCUGAGUGUCAGUGAAGAGGAAUUGUUUCUGCCAGGCACCUUGAAACACCACCGUGCUCAGAAGAGCCAUGUGCAGUAAACUGUCUUGCCUGGAGGCCUCUUCCUGGGCCUCACUGGACUGGAGCUGCU